Phoenix dactylifera (date palm) is the source of this 71-nucleotide non-coding RNA. The record is from RefSeq and is a predicted model, not a curated record. Lineage: Eukaryota; Viridiplantae; Streptophyta; Magnoliopsida; Arecales; Arecaceae.
AUUGGUUGAAAUUGAAACCAUUUAGGUUGAAAGUCAUAGUACUAAUACCUAAAGCAGAAGAGCACACGUCU